This 667-nucleotide long non-coding RNA is filed under the name Populus tremula. RNAcentral's name for it is "long non-coding RNA (PTRE_LNC002694)". Lineage: Eukaryota; Viridiplantae; Streptophyta; Magnoliopsida; Malpighiales; Salicaceae. The record is from RNAcentral.
CACCAGAACAAACACCACGUUUAGCAGACGAACUUGAGCAUAUUUAUACGAAAGGAAACCAUAGGUCCAUUUUUGUGCAAGGCUUUGAAGCAAACCCUCUAAUGACAUUUUACAAGGCCCCCAGUUAAAGAGAAAGUGCAAGCAGUAAAAAAAUGAACAACCCUUUACAUGCAGAGUUAAAGCCGCGACUGUACACUGUUAAAGCAAGGAUAUGGUGAUGUGAUUUUGAUGAGAUGUCGGUGGAAGAAUAUAGGUCCUGCUGGUAACGCCGGUGGAGAGGGUUAUUUUGAGGAGGCUGUUGUUUUUCUUCCUCCGAUGGUAACAGUGAUGGGAAUCCAAGAAGUGGGAGAGUGUUGGCUCACGGGUUCUCUUUGUUUUCGGAAGCACAUGGAAGAAUGAUGAAGAUUAGUGCUGGUCUGCUGCUGAUUUUGCCGAGCUGGACGGCGUGGAAUGCAAAGGGCUAGUGGCUGGUGAGGCUGCUGCCGUCAAUGAGCAGCGGUGCUGAUGGUUUCUCCACGAGGAGGGUGAGCUGCUGGGCGUCGGUCCGGGGGCAGUGGUAAUGGCUACUGUUUUGGUGAUAGUAGGGAGAGGAAUGGAAGCUGAUUUCGGUGGAGUUAACACUGGUGAGAGGUUAUGCACAGUGUUGAGGAAAUGAAUAUGUAUGUUU